Molecule: transfer RNA, 71 nt
Filed under: Candidatus Yonathbacteria bacterium
Lineage: Bacteria; Candidatus Yonathiibacteriota
Description: tRNA-Gly
Rfam family: tRNA
About the family: Transfer RNA (tRNA) molecules are approximately 80 nucleotides in length. Their secondary structure includes four short double-helical elements and three loops (D, anti-codon, and T loops). Further hydrogen bonds mediate the characteristic L-shaped molecular structure. tRNAs have two regions of fundamental functional importance: the anti-codon, which is responsible for specific mRNA codon recognition, and the 3' end, to which the tRNAs corresponding amino acid is attached (by aminoacyl-tRNA synthetases). tRNAs cope with the degeneracy of the genetic code in two manners: having more than one tRNA (with a specific anti-codon) for a particular amino acid; and 'wobble' base-pairing, i.e. permitting non-standard base-pairing at the 3rd anti-codon position.
Source: RNAcentral
GCGGGUAUAGUUUAGUGGUAGAACCUCUGCCUUCCAAGCAGAUGACGGGAGUUCGAUUCUCCCUACCCGCA